Molecule: transfer RNA, 71 nt
Filed under: Minisyncoccota bacterium
Lineage: Bacteria; Bacillati; Minisyncoccota
Description: tRNA-Pro
Rfam family: tRNA
About the family: Transfer RNA (tRNA) molecules are approximately 80 nucleotides in length. Their secondary structure includes four short double-helical elements and three loops (D, anti-codon, and T loops). Further hydrogen bonds mediate the characteristic L-shaped molecular structure. tRNAs have two regions of fundamental functional importance: the anti-codon, which is responsible for specific mRNA codon recognition, and the 3' end, to which the tRNAs corresponding amino acid is attached (by aminoacyl-tRNA synthetases). tRNAs cope with the degeneracy of the genetic code in two manners: having more than one tRNA (with a specific anti-codon) for a particular amino acid; and 'wobble' base-pairing, i.e. permitting non-standard base-pairing at the 3rd anti-codon position.
Source: RNAcentral
CGGGCCGUAGCAUAGUGGUAGUGUGUACGAUUCGGGUUCGUACGGUCUGGGUUCGAUUCCCGGCAGCCCGA